This 254-nucleotide ribosomal RNA is filed under the name uncultured bacterium. RNAcentral's name for it is "partial 16S ribosomal RNA". It matches the Rfam family "Bacterial small subunit ribosomal RNA", at positions 524 to 776 of the family's 1533-position model. The record is from RNAcentral.
UACAGGGGGGGGCAAGCGUUGUUCGGAAUUACUGGGCGUAAAGGGCCAGUAGGCGGCCAACUAAGUCCGACGUGAAAUCCCCAAGCUUAACUUGGGAACUGCGUCGGAUACUGGAUGGCUUGAAUUCGGGAGAGGGAUGCAGAAUUCCAGGUGUAGCGGUGAAAUGCGUAGAUAUCUGGAGGAAUACCGGUGGCGAAGGCGGCAUCCUGGACCGACAUUGACGCUGAACGGCGAAAGCUAGGGGAGCAAACGGG